This 497-nucleotide ribosomal RNA is filed under the name uncultured bacterium. Its description in RNAcentral is "partial 16S ribosomal RNA". It matches the Rfam family "Bacterial small subunit ribosomal RNA", at positions 28 to 507 of the family's 1533-position model. The record is from RNAcentral.
GACGAACGCUGGCGGCGUGCCUAAUACAUGCAAGUAGAACGCUGAAGAGAGGAGCUUGCUCUUCUUGGAUGAGUUGCGAACGGGUGAGUAACGCGUAGGUAACCCGCCUUGUUGCGGGGGAUAACUAUUGGAAACGAUAGCUAAUCCCGCAUAACCAUCGAUGACACAUGGCAUUUAUUUGAAAGGCGCAAUUGCGCCACUACAACAUGGACCUGCGGUGUAUUAGCUAGUAGGUGAGGUAAUGGCUCACCUAGGCGACGAUACAUAGCCGACCUGAGAGGGUGGUCAGCCACACUGGGACUGAGACACGGCCCAGACUCCUACGGGAGGCAGCCGUAGGGAAUCUUCGGCAAUGGGGGGAAACCUGACCGAGCAACGCCGCGUGAGGGAAGAAGGUUUUCGGGUCGGAAAGGUCUGUUGUAAGGCAAGAAACGGUGUGAGACUGGAAAGUUCACAGUGUGACGGUAGCUGAUCAAAAAGCAACGGCUAACUACGUG